CCCCUUUUCAAACACCCCCACGCCCCCUAUAUCUAACCUGUCUCCUUCGGGGGACUAUGGGCAUAAACGUGCGUGAAAUAAGCGGAUCGGACCCGGGGGCGGUACCCGGCGGCUCCACCAAACAUCCCUCGUUGGGGGCAGAUGGGGCCGAAAUAGGAUCGACGAACGUGUAAAGACGUGGCUUUGUCCCGGUGAGCUACCACCGUUAUCGGUGCGAAAAGUACAAUUGCCAACGACAAUCGUGCUCCGAUCGCUCUGGCUGCCUAAGCAGUCCGAAAGAUCGAAAAUUAAGUCCUUGGGCUUUGCAGCCUAAGGCGGGGUUCGGAGGUACCUGGCAACAGAAACCUCCACU
RNAcentral lists this transfer-messenger RNA (352 nucleotides) under Loktanella sp. IMCC34160. RNAcentral describes it as "Alphaproteobacteria transfer-messenger RNA". It matches the Rfam family "Alphaproteobacteria transfer-messenger RNA". From Rfam's summary of the family: Bacterial tmRNA, also known as 10Sa RNA or SsrA, is named for its dual tRNA and mRNA-like properties. Its role is to liberate the mRNA from a stalled ribosome. The record is from Rfam by way of RNAcentral. Lineage: Bacteria; Pseudomonadati; Pseudomonadota; Alphaproteobacteria; Rhodobacterales; Roseobacteraceae.